UGCUGCAUGGCUGUCGUCAGCUCGUGUCGUGAGAUGUUGGGUUUAAGUCCCGUAACGAGCGCAACCCUUGUCCUUAGUUACCAGCACGUUAUGGUGGGCACUCUAAGGAGACUGCCGGUGACAAACCGGAGGAAGGUGGGGGAUGACGUCAAGUCAUCAUGGCCCUUACGGCCUGGGCUACACACGUGCUACAAUGGUCGGUACAAAGGGUUGCCAAGCCGCGAGGUGGAGCUAAUCCCAUAAAACCGAUCGUAGUCCGGAUCGCAGUCUGCAACUCGACUGCGUGAAGUCGGAAUCGCUAGUAAUCGUGAAUCAGAAUGUCACGGUGAAUACGUUCCCGGGCCUU
RNAcentral lists this ribosomal RNA (346 nucleotides) under uncultured Pseudomonas sp. RNAcentral's name for it is "bacterial SSU rRNA". It matches the Rfam family "Bacterial small subunit ribosomal RNA", at positions 1039 to 1382 of the family's 1533-position model. The record is from RNAcentral. Lineage: Bacteria; Pseudomonadati; Pseudomonadota; Gammaproteobacteria; Pseudomonadales; Pseudomonadaceae.